Small nuclear RNA from Rhinopithecus roxellana (golden snub-nosed monkey), 104 nucleotides. The record is from Ensembl. NCBI's taxonomy places the organism in Eukaryota, Metazoa, Chordata, Mammalia, Primates, Cercopithecidae.
GUGCUCACUUUGGCAGCAUAUACACUAAAAUUGGAAUGAUACAGAGAUUAGCAUGGACCCUGCACAAAGAUGACAUGCAAACUGGUGAAGCAUUUCAUACUUUU